Molecule: non-coding RNA, 46 nt
Filed under: Schistosoma curassoni
Lineage: Eukaryota; Metazoa; Platyhelminthes; Trematoda; Strigeidida; Schistosomatidae
Source: RNAcentral
CAACUGCUGAGGAGUCCUACAAUAGGACGAAACGACCGUUCAGUUU